This 305-nucleotide ribosomal RNA is filed under the name uncultured bacterium. RNAcentral describes it as "bacterial SSU rRNA". It matches the Rfam family "Bacterial small subunit ribosomal RNA", at positions 330 to 655 of the family's 1533-position model. The record is from RNAcentral.
UCCCGCCUACGGGGCGCAGCAGUGGGGGAUAUUGCACAAUGGGGGAAACCCUGAUGCAGCGACGCCGCGUGUGGGAAGACGGUCCUCUGGAUUGUAAACCACUGUCCCCAGGGACGAAGAUGACGGUACCUGGGGAGGAAGCUCCGGCUAACUACGUGCCAGCAGCCGCGGUAAUACGUAGGGAGCAAGCGUUGUCCGGAACUACUGGGUGUAAAGGGAGCGUAGGCGGGAUGGCAAGUUGGGUGUUAAAUCUACCGGCUCAACUGGUAGUCGCACUCAAAACUGCUGUUCUUGAGUGAAGGAGA